RNAcentral lists this ribosomal RNA (347 nucleotides) under uncultured bacterium. Its description in RNAcentral is "partial 16S ribosomal RNA". It matches the Rfam family "Bacterial small subunit ribosomal RNA", at positions 338 to 682 of the family's 1533-position model. The record is from RNAcentral.
CCUACGGGUGGCAGCAGUGAGGAAUAGUGGUCAAUGGACGGAAGUCGGAACCAGCCAUGCCGCGUGCAGGAAGACGGCGCUAUGAGUUGUAAACUGCUUUUGUACAAGGGUAAACCGGAAUACGUGGAUUCAGCUGAAAGUACUGUACGAAUAAGGAUCGGCUAACUCCGUGCCAGCAGCCGCGGUAAUACGGAGGAUCCAAGCGUUAUCCGGAUUUAUUGGGUUGAAAGGGUGCGUAGGCGGAUUGAUAAGUUAGAGGUGAAAUGUCCGAGCUUACCUCGGGAACUGCCUCUCAUACUGUUGAUCUCGCGCGUAGCUGCGGUAGGCUGAAUGUCUGGUGUAGCGGU